Long non-coding RNA from Tupaia belangeri chinensis (Chinese tree shrew), 605 nucleotides. RefSeq lists it as uncharacterized. The transcript has 3 exons. The record is from RefSeq and is a predicted model, not a curated record. Lineage: Eukaryota; Metazoa; Chordata; Mammalia; Scandentia; Tupaiidae.
AGCAGACAGCAGUUGUUUCCAUGUUCCCAUCAUUCAGAGAUUAUGAAGGCACAUUCCCACCUUUGAUAUGCCUGCAGUCAAGUGAAGCAGACCCAAGUCAAUGGUUGCAGUGUUGCAUUUGAGUAGUCUAAAACAGAAUGCCACAUCAUGGUGGAUUGUGCUAUGGGCAGCUUCCAGUAUGUGAGUUGUAGAAGAUGAGAAUUGGAACACAUUUUGAAGGAUGAGGAGUAUUAAGAAAAAGACCCGCGGCCUGUGUGCAUUUGUUCUGCCUUAUUCUGAUGACCAAAUUUAUCAGCAAGUUGCAGGUGAACAUGGCCUUGAGGUAAAUCCUGCCCCUCGUUGAAAUUCAGCUGUAGAUUGUUCAUGGUAUUUUAAGGAACUGGAAUAUUUAACAAAAACCAAAAAUUUUAUUUGGUUCUGCUUUAGACUUACUUUUUUCUUCUUGGAGUGAGAGAUAUUCAGAGAAGUUCUUUGUGCUAUGUAAUUGUGAUGCUUGAAGUUGAUUGUCUGCCUUGUUAAAAUUAAGUAGAUUUUUUUUAAAUGUUUAGGACAAUUAUAGAGUUUUUUCUUGGUCAAAUAAAAAUUAAUUAAAACUUUAUAGAUGC